CUACGGGAGGCAGCAGUGGGGAAUAUUGGACAAUGGGCGAAAGCCUGAUCCAGCCAUGCCGCGUGAGUGAUGAAGGCCUUAGGGUUGUAAAGCUCUUUCGCCAGGGGCGAUAAUGACGGUACCUGGAUAAGAAGCCCCGGCUAACUUCGUGCCGGCAGCCCCGGUAAUACGAAGGGGGCUAGCGUUGUUCGGAAUCACUGGGCGUAAAGCGCACGUAGGCGGAUCUUUAAGUCAGGGGUGAAAUCCCGAGGCUCAACCUCGGAACUGCCCUUGAUACUGGAGAUCUUGAGUUCGGGAGAGGUGAGUGGAACUGCGAGUGUAGAGGUGAAAUUCGUAGAUAUUCGCAAGAACACCAGUGGCGAAGGCGGCUCACUGGCCCGAUACUGACGCUGAGGUGCGAAAGCGUGGGGAGCAAACAGGAUUAGAAACCCCUGUAGUCC
Molecule: ribosomal RNA, 440 nt
Filed under: uncultured bacterium
Lineage: Bacteria
Description: bacterial SSU rRNA
Rfam family: Bacterial small subunit ribosomal RNA
Source: RNAcentral